UACGGGGGGGGCAAGCGUUGUUCGGAAUUACUGGGCGUAAAGGGCUCGUAGGCGGCCAACUAAGUCAGACGUGAAAUCCCCCGGCUCAACCGGGGAACUGCGGGGCAUACUGCGGGUCUUGAGGAAGGUAGGCGCCGAGGGAACAGUAGGUGGAGCGGUGAAAUGCGUAGAUAUCUACUGGAACGCCGAUGGUGAAGACGCUCGGCUGGGCCUUUCCUGACGCUGAGGCACGAAAGCGUGGGGAGCAAACAGG
This 253-nucleotide ribosomal RNA is filed under the name uncultured bacterium. RNAcentral describes it as "partial 16S ribosomal RNA". It matches the Rfam family "Bacterial small subunit ribosomal RNA", at positions 524 to 776 of the family's 1533-position model. The record is from RNAcentral.